AUACGGGUGGUGCAAGCGUUAAUCGGAAUUACUGGGCGUAAAGCGCGCGUAGGCGGUUUGCUCAGUCGGAUGUGAAAGCCCAGGGCUCAACCUUGGAACUGCAUACGAUACUGGCAAACUAGAGUGUGAGAGAGGAUAGCGGAAUUUCCGGUGUAGCGGUGAAAUGCGUAGAUAUCGGAAGGAACGUCAGUGGCGAAGGCGACUGUCUGGCUCAACACUGACGCUGAGGUGCGAAAGCGUGGGUAGCAAACAGGAUUAGAAACCCCAGUAGUCC
Molecule: ribosomal RNA, 274 nt
Filed under: uncultured bacterium
Lineage: Bacteria
Description: partial 16S ribosomal RNA
Rfam family: Bacterial small subunit ribosomal RNA
Source: RNAcentral